RNAcentral lists this long non-coding RNA (1824 nucleotides) under Salvia miltiorrhiza (redroot sage). RNAcentral describes it as "long non-coding RNA (SMIL_LNC006039)". Lineage: Eukaryota; Viridiplantae; Streptophyta; Magnoliopsida; Lamiales; Lamiaceae. The record is from RNAcentral.
UACGUGGCCACUUACUGCCACUCACUAAAGUAUUAACAAUCAAAGGAAGAAAAGUCAAUAAAAGAAAAGAAGAUAGAGAGAUAUGAAAUGUGUGGGGCUGUGCAAAAUCUGCAGCAGCCUCCAAUCCCCUUCAAUUUCCACUCACUCUUACCUCCCCACCACUACCAUAAAAAUCAUUAAAGUUGAGAGAAAGAAAAUGAGUGUGCUGCCCACCACCCUUGUUCCCCAUCUCUUUAGCCGCCCUCUUUUAAUAUCAACUCCCAUCAACCAACAACUCCUUCUCAUAUAAUCUCUUUUUAAGCUAGCAUUCCUCUCAUUUUCUUCAUUGGCGCAUCGGCAAUCAAACGAAAAGGGAGAUUCAUUGUGCUGCCAGAGGUAAGCCUAGGCUUAAAUCCCUCCAUUUCCUUCAUAAGUUCAGCCUGCAAUUGUUAAGCAAAUAAGCAAUUUAUUUCAGUUUCUAUCCAUUGAGCUCCAGAGCAACCAACCAAAAACACAAGAACAUUCAAGGUAUUUUUACAUCGGUAUGCUUUCUUCUUUGUUACACGCCUCAUUUCCCAUGAAGCAUAUGAUCAGUUUAUUUGAAAAGCAUAGUAGGAGACGAAUGGUAUAAUCUUUUAUCCAUAUAGAAUCAACAACCCAUGACUUUCACACAAGGCAAAUACAAUGAGAAUUUCUGACGACACAUAGCAAAACCAUGAUGCCUAGUUUCAAUCUAUAGCAUAAACGACAAUAGGAGCCAAAGGUUUAAUUACGGUACUGCACUGAAACUAGAAAAAAAAAACCAUAAUCUUGCUGCUUUUGCAUUUAAAAAAUACUAAAGAGUUAAGGGCCGAACCUCAACUGCUGGAACGAAGAAGGAAAACGGCGAACUCUCGUCGUCUUGCCUGCAUCGGAAAGAAGGGCUGACAGCCCGACGGGGACGACGACGACGGUCGGGACAGGGCGAACUCGCCCAACCUCAUCAGGGCCCCGAACAGCAGCUGCCCGGCGACGAGCUGAGACUUGUGCGCAGCAGCAGCGUCCAGGGGCAGCAGCGACGCGGUGAGAGGCGUAGGCCUUCUUACUCCAGUCGCCGGAGGAGAGAAUCGCCGGAGGCAGCUGACGCCGAUCAGAUCAGAGCCGAGCAGGGGCUCGAGUGCAGCAACCGCGGACGCUCGACAGCGGCGUCCUUCCCUUUUCUGAAAUCUAGGGCUCGACGUCGGAGAGGGAUAGGAGGACGGGAGUUGGACGGCGCCACUCCCAGACGACGACCGCUCGCCGGAUUCCAGACGGAGGUGCGACAGCGGCGAUGAUUUCCAGAGUUAGGGCUCGGCUAGGUUCUGCGAUGAAGAGAGAGAGCAACGCCGGUGUUUGACGCGUCGCCGAUCGAAGCUGAUCGGAGCAGAUGACGGCUGAACGGCCGGAGUAGGCGCAGCCGACCAGAAUUUGGCAGAGAGAGAGAGAGAUCGGCUUUGAAGAAGAAGGAAGAGCGGCCCCCUUGAGAAUGAGAGAGAGAUCGAGAGUUUAGAAAGAGAGAGAGAUUGGGCUAUGUUUUGGGCUUACCCUAUUUUUUUUUAAUCAUUUGGGCUUUCUUUUAUUUAAUUGUUGGGCCUAUUUUCUUAUGUUAUUUGGGCCGAUGCAUUUUAUGUUGGGCUUGAGUUGUUCUGUUGGGCCGAAAAUGUAGAAGGAAAGUGAAUGGGCUUAAGUCAGUUUGGGCUUGAGUUUUGGGGCUAUUUUUGUUGGGCUCGUUUAAAUGAUUUUAAUUAGUCUGGACUGCUCUUUUUAUUUAACAUGGACUCAAUUUUAAUUAAUAGUUCAGCCUUCAGUUAUAUAAAUUUUGGGCCG